CCUACGGGAGGCAGCAGUGAGGAAUAUUGGUCAAUGGGCGAGAGCCUGAACCAGCCAAGUAGCGUGAGGGAGUACUGCCCUAUGGGUUGUAAACCUCUUUUGUCGGGGAGCAAAAGCCGGACGUGUCCGGCUGUGAGAGUACCCGAAGAAAAAGCAUCGGCUAACUCCGUGCCAGCAGCCGCGGUAAUACGGAGGAUGCGAGCGUUAUCCGGAUUUAUUGGGUUUAAAGGGUGCGCAGGCGGAUUUUUAAGUCAGCGGUAAAAUCGUGGGGCUCAACCCCAUCCAGCCGUUGAAACUGGGGAUCUAGAGUGUGCGAGAGGUAUGCGGAAUGCGUGGUGUAGCGGUGAAAUGCAUAGAUAUCACGCAGAACCCCGAUUGCGAAGGCAGCAUACCGGUGCACAACUGACGCUCAGGCACGAAAGCGUGGGUAUCGAACAGGAUUAGAUACCCUAGUAGUC
Molecule: ribosomal RNA, 458 nt
Filed under: uncultured bacterium
Lineage: Bacteria
Description: partial 16S ribosomal RNA
Rfam family: Bacterial small subunit ribosomal RNA
Source: RNAcentral